Long non-coding RNA from Anolis carolinensis (green anole), 5393 nucleotides. RefSeq lists it as uncharacterized. The record is from RefSeq and is a predicted model, not a curated record. The transcript is spliced from 2 exons. Lineage: Eukaryota; Metazoa; Chordata; Lepidosauria; Squamata; Anolidae.
CCGACUCUAAUCCAGGUCCUCCAUGUGGGUUCACAGGCCGAACUCACUUCCUUUCCCGGAGAGACAAGCUCGGAGGGAGCUUGAGAUAGAGCGUCUCCAAUCUAUGACAACUUCCGCUUGGUUACAAAGCCGAGGGAUAGGAAGCAGAUACGAAGCAGCCAUAAACACGGAAUAGCACCUUUUCUUCUGUGGGGAAGAGUGGAGACUUCAUUGAAGCAGAUUGCAUCUGAUGAAACUCAGUCUAUGAAAGCUUGUGCUACAAACAUUUUUCAGCUAGUAUCAAAGGUGCUACAACAUCCCUUUGCAUACGGAUACAGACUAGCACAGCUUUGAAUAAUCCAUCAGAUCUCUCUCUCUCUCUCUCUCUCUCUCUCUCUCGCUCUCGCUCUCGCUCUCGCUCUCGCUCUCGCUCUCGCUCUCGCUCUCGCUCUCUUUGAUCAUCUAGUUAACUUAACUAUUCCCAACCUCACCAAGUCCUUUACCCUCACCUUUUGGCCAAAAGUGAAAUCAGAAAUGAUGUUAUGUCACUACCAGUUUUGGUGAGUUAGAGUCACAGAGUUGGAGGACACCACAAGGGCCAUCAAGUCCAGCCCUGUUCUGCCAUACAGGAACACACAAUCAAAGCACUCCUAACAGAUGGCCUCUGCAUACAGAGAAGGAAACUUGGUUGCAUUCCUAGGCAGCUCUUACCAUCAUGAAAUUAUUCCUGAUGUUUAGGUGGAACCUCUUUUCCUGCAGUUUUAAUCCAUUACUCCACGUCCUAGUCUCUAGAGCAGCAGAAAACAAGUUUGCCCUCUCCUCAAAGUGACAUAUUUUCAAAUAUUUAAAUAGGGCUGCCAUGUCUUCUCUCAGGCCCCUUCUACACUGCCAUAUAAUCCAGACCAUUAGAUAUUCCACAUGAUCUGCUUUGAACUGGAUUAUAAACUGCCAUAUAAUCUUGUUCAAAGCAGAUAAUCUGAAUUUUAUAUGGCAGUGUUGAAGGGGCCUUGGUCUCCUUUGCUCCAGGCUAAACAUUCCCAGCUUUCUGACCCCCCUCCUCAUAGGGCAUGACUUCCAAACUUUUGAUCAUUUUGGUCACCCUUCUCUGGACACUUUCCAACUUGUCAAUAUCCUUCUUGAAUUGUGGUGCCCAGGAAUGGAAAUAGUAUUCCAGGUGAGAUCUAACCAAAGUGAUUACUUUGGAACAAUUACUUGCUUGGACCUGACACUUUACUCCUAUUGAUGCAGCUUAGAAUUGUCUUGCCUUUUUAAGCUGCCGCAUCACACUGUUGACUCAUGUUCAGCUUGUGGUCUACCAAGAUUCUGAAAUUCCUUUCACAUGUAUUACAGUCAAGCCAGGUAUCACACUGGGACCCAAUGAGGCAGCAGUGGAUACAAAUGACCCCACCCUAUUUCCCCAUCCUUGCCCUAGACUAAAAUAUGUUAGGAGUUUGCUGUCACUUAUAUGGGUUCUCUCUGAGUUUCUCUAACACUCCCAACUGUUAGGAACUGAAUCAGAUUGACUUCAAAUGCAGAAAAGAAUAAAACCCCAAUAUUAACACACCAUCGCUGACAAUGAAUGUCCUACAGGAAUCCACAGCUUUGCAAAUGCCGACAGUGAAGAGGCAGCCGUCUUCAUCUGUUUCCAUGAGGCACUCUUUGCAGAUCAAACUUUCUAGAAUAGGAAACAGUGUGACUGAGACUGGCAAGUCUAGUAUUCUGGGAGUUGUCUCUCCAAAGUAACUUUUUCCAAGCUUCGAAAAGCUGUAUAAAUAUAAUCAAUGAAUUUUUCCAAAGGAAGCAAAAGCCAAAAUAUUUCAAUUUUUAAAUGUACUGUACAUUACAGUAUAUUGAUUUAAUUAAAUAUAAUUGACGUAAAAUUGCACAACAUCCAUAAGAUUUGGAGAAGCAACAAAAAGAGUUCUUGCAAAGUUUUAAGUAAAAUAGGUCCUGCUAAUUUGAUGUCUGCUACAACUGUACUAAUGAGAUCUAGAUUAGUUUGAAUUUGUGACUGCUUGCACUUUCACCUUAUCUGUCAACUUAUGGCAGCUCCAUAGAUUUCACAGUGUUUUCUUAGGCAAGGAAUACUCAGAGGUGUUUUUGCGAUUUCCUUCCUCUAAAAUAGAUCCCGCAACACCUGCUAUCAUUGGUGGUCUCCCAUUCCUAUACUAACUAGGCGUGACCCGCUUAGCUUCCAAGAUCAGGUGGGAUUGAUGCUUUCAGUAAUUAAUACUAAUUACUUUUUCUCUACACCACUUUAUAAAGUUUUUGUGAGUGUUCAGUGAAAUCUAAUCACUCCUCACUGGGAGGAAAGCAAGAUAGAAAUAGGACAAAUAACUUAUUACCAUUCUAACAAAAUGGGAGGUGACCUUGCAAAUCACACACCUCAUCAUUUAAUGCUGUGUUUAUAGGUAGAUGAUGGAAAAGUUACUUUUUGGGUGUUGGAGUGAGGCCCCAUCUACAUUACCAUAUAAUCGGGUUUCUGAAUCUAGAUUAUCUGCUUUGAAUUGGAUUAUAUGUUAGUGUAGACUCCUAUAAUCCUGUUCAAAGCAGAUAAUCUGGAUUCAGAAACUGGAUUGUAUGGCAGUGUAGAUCCCUUUUGGGUGGCCCUUGAGGUCUAUUCCAACUAUGAUUCCAACUAUGAUUCUAUGUUCAGUCCAGCUUCCAGAUGGACUGAACAAUCUGGGGAAAGAAGUACCGGUAAUCACCAAUAUAGCAAGCAAGAAAUAAGUCGUAAUUAUAACUUACCUACCACAAAUCCCAAGCAAAGUGAAGCCAAAGCAGCAAAAAGGAGAGCCUGGGCCAUGUGGAAUUAUUCACUCUGCUUCUAUAUAUGCGCACCCUGGCUUUGCUUCAUCAAAGUACACCCUUCACUCUCUGAAGCAUAUCUUGCUCGCUACAUUAAUUUAGCAUUGAUGGCUGCUGGAGGGAAGUGAGUUGCUCUGAUCUAAUCAUUGCAAGAGGCUGCAUUGUAAGGCUUUAGCUAGGGCAAUGUCCCCUUCACUAAAUUAUCAAUUUCCAUUUUAAGAACAAAAGGAAGAUUAAGCAAAUAAAUACCACUUGUGGUUUAUUGUGUUGGGUAAGGUAAGGACCUGAAAGCUCAUGGACAGACUUCAGGAAAGACUAUCUGCAAAGUAUGAGGAACAGUCCAACAAGAUAAGGCAUGAUGGCCACUGCAGGGUCUAAACCAGUUAAAUCACUUAUUUCUAAAACUGGGUAACAGAGAGCCAACUCCUCAGGACCCUGGAGAGCACUACCUAGCAAGUGCAAUACAUACCUCCACCUUCGUAACUCCUCAACAGAUGGCUUGUACUGUCAGGUACUGGCUUGUUCAGUAGAAUCUCCUCUACAGUUCCAUUUGGUGGGAAGCCUUAGCAUUCAACGGUUGCAUUGUUAAAGUGCGAAGUAUGGAACCCUGCGCAGACGGUCAUUCAGUCAUUGAAUUCUUGACAGCAGAAGGUGUCACCCCAAAGGAGAUUAAUCAGAGAAUGCAAGCUGUUUAUGGUGAUUGUGCUGAUGUGCAUACUGUGUGUCAUUGGGCGAGUAAGUUUAAAGAUGUUGAGGUGGGAACAUCUGACUUGCGUGACAAACAAAGAGUUGGACAUCCUGUGACAGCAACCACCAAGUUUCAUAAGCAAAAGGUUGACAGAUUGAUUCAGGUCAACUGUUGUCUCACUCAGAGAAAAAUUUCAAGCAUAAGCGACAUUUCUCAAGAACGUGUGGGUCAUAUUAUUGCUUUGCUUGGCUAUUGGAAGAUCUGUGCACAAUGGGUCCUGUGAGACGCUGGUUGCGGAAACAGUGUCGACUUCUUCCAUUACGGCUUGAGAAAACUUGUUCAUCGUUGGCAGAAAUGUAUCGAAUUGUCUGGUGAUUAUGUGAAAAAGCGAAUAGUGGUAGUUAAAGAGCACAUUCUAAGGAUUAUUUCUGCAUUUGAUUUAUUAAAAUAUUCCCAUCCAAACCCAAGUAAUGAAGGUGGAGGCAUUACUUUUCAUUCAACACUCGUAGAUGCUCUAGCAAGGAAAUACUAGCAAGAAAUGAUUAGGUUUCUCAGCUCAUAAUAAUAAUUGAACAGUUCUCAGGACAGGAGUAAGUCGCUUGACUUUCUCCUGUCACUCAGCUCCCCCUGGGGCUGGAAUCGAGCAUACUCUCAUGAAGCCGGAAACUGGAAAAUGUUAAAUUGCCUCUGUGUCUGUCUAUAUGUUGUAUGUCUAAUGGCAUUGAAUGUUUGCCAUAUAUAUGUGCAUUGUAAUCUGCCCCGAAUCCCCUUCGGGGUGAGAAGGGCGGAAUAUAAAUACUGCAAAUAAAUAAAUAGACAUAUGGAGCCCCCGGUAGCGCAGCGGAUUAAACCUCUGAGCUGCUGAACUUGCUGACUGAAAGGUCACCAGUUUGAAUCUGGGAUCACGGUGAGCUCCCACUGUUAGCCCCAGCUUCUGUCAACCUAGUAGUUUGAAAACAUGCAAAUGUGGUAAAGCAAUAGGUACCGCUCUAGCAGGAAGGUAACAGAACUUCAUGUGGUCAUGACCUACUGUAGGAGGUGUCUAUGGACAAUGCUGGCUCUUCAGCUUAGAAAUGGAGAUAAGCACCAACCCCCAGAGUCGGACACGACUAGACUUAAUGUCAGGAGAAUAACUUUACUUUUACCUAAGUGACUUGAUGUCAAUCUGGUGUCUUGGAUGUCAGACCCCACAAGCCCUAGUCAGCAUAGUCAGUAGGAUUUUGGAAGUUGUAAUCCAAAAUAUUUGGAGGACACCGGAUUGUUCAUCUUUGUCUUAAGAGAAAGACUUUGCUGUAAACAGACAAAACAGAAGUCAGGUAUUACUUCAAAUAAACAGCCAUGAUCCAGCUAGCUACAUUGGUAUAUUCAGCUUUUGACUUUUCUGCCAUUAUUAUUUCACAUUGUUUUUCAUGUGCUACAAUCCUAUUUUUAUCAUUUUUUAAAUGCUACAUUAGAUACCCCAUGAGUCUUUGGCCUGAAUGGGAAGAUACAAAUUAGAAGUGGGAAUACUGGGGUCUUCCAGAUGUUGCUGGGUUGACAUAUAAUACAAAUUAAAGAUGUAACUGUAUGCUGAUCUUUUUAGUGAGCUUGAUCAAUUCCACCUUGACAGUAGCUGACAUCUCCCCAUGACCUUUGUUGCUUGCUGAGAUCUGUCAUUUGUGCUAUGUUAGAAAUGCUGUAAAUGCAAUAUUAAGUGUGCAAGGCCAAGAAGAUCUUAAGCCAGUGCCAGACCCUGAGAAGCAUCUUCUUAAACAACAAACAAGCAGUAGAUAAAUUAUGUGCUGGUCAUAUAUACUUCAGGUAAAGGAUUGCCAUAUAUGCCUUAUGAUUAAAUAUUGCUCAUGAGUACUUUUUCGCUGUUGUGGUAACUGAGGUUCUAUAAAAUACUGAUGCUUAUAAUAAACUUUAUCAAUCUUAA